UGUGGAGAUGUACAGACAACUAGGAGGUUGGCUCAGAAGCAGCCAUCCUUUAAAGAGUGCGUAACAGCUCACUAGUCGAAUGACUCUGCGCCGAUAAUUUACCGGGGCUAAGCAUACUACCGAAGCUAUGGAUCCUGAGGGAUGGUAGGGGAGCGUUCCAUGAACGGAGAAGCGCGAUCGAGAGGACGCGUGGAGAUCAUGGAAGAGAGAAUGCCGGUGUGAGUAGCGGAACGUGGGUGAGAAUCCCACGCACCGAAGACCCAAGGUUUCCAGAGGAAGGUUCGUCCGCUCUGGGUAAGUCGGGACCUAAGGCGAGGCCGAGAGGCGUAGUCGAUGGACAACAGGUAGAGAUUCCUGUACUCAUAUAUAUGUGAAGGAAUGACGGAGAGAGGAAGCUGCAGCCAGCGGCUGGAAGAGCUGGUGCAAGCGAGAUAUCGGGAUGGCAGGCAAAUCCACCAUCUGAAAACGAGAAGGCGUGAAGCGUACGGAAAGCUAAGGCGAGUACGGAAGGCAGUGGACGAGCUUCCAAGAAAAGUUUCUAACGAAAGUAUAUGUGACCCGUACCGAAAAUGGACACACAUGGGUGAGGAGAGAAUCCUAAGGUGAGCGAGAGAACUAUAGCUAAGGAACUCUGCAAAAUGACUCCGUAACUUAGGGAGAAGGAGUGCUCAUAGAGAUAUGAGCCGCAGUGAAACGGCCCAAGCGACUGUUUACCAAAAACACAGCUCUCUGCUAAGCCGCAAGGCGAAGUAUAGGGGGUGACGCCUGCCCGGUGCUGGAAGGUUAAGGGGAGGGGUUAACGCAAGUGAAGCCCUGAACUGAAGCCCCAGUAAACGGCGGCCGUAACUAUAACGGUCCUAAGGUAGCGAAAUUCCUUGUCAGGUAAGUUCUGACCCGCACGAAAGGCGUAACGAUUUGGGCGCUGUCUCAGCUGUAGACUCGGUGAAGUCUUAGUACCUGUGAAGAUGCAGGUUACCCGCGACUAGACGGAAAGACCCCAUGGAGCUUCACUGCAGGUUGAUAUUGGGAUUUGAUGCAGCAUGUACAGGAUAGGUAGGAGGCAAAGAGAUGGAUACGCCAGUAUUCAAGGAGCCGCUGUUGGGAUACUACCCCUGUUGUAUUGGAUUUCUAACCGGACGACGUAAACCGUUGACGGGACAGUGUCAGUCGGGCAGUUUGACUGGGGCGGUCGCCUCCUAAAGAGUAACGGAGGCGCCCAAAGAUACCCUCAGCUUGGAUGGAAACCAAGCGCAGAGUGCAAAGGCAAAAGGGUGUUUGACUGCGAGACCCACAAGUCGAGCAGGGACGAAAGUCGGGCUUAGUGAUCCGGCGGUGCUGAAUGGAAAGGCCGUCGCUCAACGGAUAAAAGCUACCCUGGGGAUAACAGGCUGAUCUCCCCCAA
This 1402-nucleotide ribosomal RNA is filed under the name human gut metagenome. Its description in RNAcentral is "bacterial LSU rRNA". It matches the Rfam family "Bacterial large subunit ribosomal RNA", at positions 1074 to 2495 of the family's 2925-position model. The record is from RNAcentral.